AACACAUGCAAGUCGAGGGGCAGCAGGGGGAGGAGCAAUCCUCCCCGCUGGCGACCGGCGCACGGGUGAGUAACACGUAUGCAAUCUGCCCAUGACUGGGGGAUAAUCGGAAGAAAUUCCGUCUAAUACCGCAUAACACCUUUAUGGGGCAUCCCGUGAAGGUCAAAGAAUUUCGGUCAUGGAUGAGCAUGCGGCGCAUUAGCUGGUUGGCGGGGUAACGGCCCACCAAGGCGACGAUGCGUAGGGGUUCUGAGAGGAAGGUCCCCCACACUGGUACUGAGACACGGACCAGACUCCUACGGGAGGCAGCAGUGAGGAAUAUUGGUCAAUGGGCGAGAGUCUGAACCAGCCAAGUCGCGUGAGGGAAGACGGUCUUAUGGAUUGUAAACCUCUUUUGCCGGGGAGCAAGGGCUGCCACGCGUGGCAGGGCGAGAGUACCCGGAGAAAAAGCAUCGGCUAACUCCGUGCCAGCAGCCGCGGUAAUACGGAGGAUGCGAGCGUUAUCCGGAUUUAUUGGGUUUAAAGGGUGCGUAGGCGGAAGAUUAAGUCAGCGGUAAAAUUGGGAGGCUCAACCUCUCCGAGCCGUUGAAACUGGUUUUCUUGAGUGAGCGAGAAGUAUGCGGAAUGCGUGGUGUAGCGGUGAAAUGCAUAGAU
Molecule: ribosomal RNA, 654 nt
Filed under: uncultured Bacteroidota bacterium
Lineage: Bacteria; Pseudomonadati; Bacteroidota
Description: bacterial SSU rRNA
Rfam family: Bacterial small subunit ribosomal RNA
Source: RNAcentral